CGCACAUUGCGCCCUCUGGUAUUCCGGAGGGCAUGCCUGUUCGAGCGUCAUUUCAACCCUCAAGCCCAGCUUGGUGUUGGGGCACUACCAGAACCCUCCGGGGCGGCGGUAGGCCCUGAAAUUCAGUGGCGAGCUCGCCAGGACUCCGAGCGCAGUAGUGUAAACCUCGCUUUGGAUCGUACUGGCGCGGCCUAGCCGUAGAACCCCCAACUUCUGAAAAUUUGACCUCGGAUCAGGUAGGAAUACCCGCUGAACUUAA
Molecule: unclassified non-coding RNA, 259 nt
Filed under: Cytospora punicae
Lineage: Eukaryota; Fungi; Ascomycota; Sordariomycetes; Diaporthales; Cytosporaceae
Description: partial contains 5.8S ribosomal RNA, internal transcribed spacer 2, and large subunit ribosomal RNA
Source: RNAcentral